UACCGAAGUUUUCCUCGGUAGUUAACUGCAGCCGGUUUCAUAAUUCGACAGUUAACUGCCGAAAGACAUU
This 70-nucleotide microRNA precursor is filed under the name Medicago truncatula (barrel medic). RNAcentral's name for it is "MIR2629 microRNA precursor family". It matches the Rfam family "MIR2629 microRNA precursor family". Lineage: Eukaryota; Viridiplantae; Streptophyta; Magnoliopsida; Fabales; Fabaceae. The record is from Rfam by way of RNAcentral.